CUUCCUUCUAAAGUGAAAGUGUUUCUCUUUCCGAAUCGACUCCAUUUUGUUUGUACAAGUUAAAACAUGUUUAUCAGAAGCAGAAACGGUGAUAUUAAUGUGACAGAACAAGGCCUGUUGACUAAAGGAGUGUGAUCCAUUCCAUCAGAAGAGAUCAGACUCUUCAGGACUCAGCUGUGUGUUUGUGUGUAAACUUUACUAAUAUUUAAAGAUGGAGACUCCUGAUCUGGACACAGAUAAUGUUUCUACACCAUCAAACAACUGUAAACUCCAGAGAAAGAGAUCAGAAUCACCAACACACAGCUGUAUCUCCAUGAAGAGUGAUCAGUCUAUGGAUCUUCCUCAGAGAUUUAAAAAUGGAGACUCAUCACUUCUACACAGUAAACUCCAGAGAAAGAGAUCAGAAUCACCAACACACAGUUGUUUCUCCAUGAAAAAUCAUGAGUCUAUGGAUCAUCAUCCAGAGUUUAAAGUUGUAGACUCCUCACUUCUACACAGGUACGACCCAGAAUCUGCUGGUGGAAAUGAAUUCCAGAAAAAGUUCAAAUUAAAUCUGAUGAAGAAGUUUCAGUGUUUGAAUGGAGUGAUAAUAAACCUGGGAACCCAAACACUCCUGAAUGAGAUCUACACAGAGCUCUACAUCACAGAGGGAGACAGUGGAGAAGUCAAUAAUGAACAUGAGGUGAGACAGAUCGAGGCAGCAUCCAGGAGAAGAACAACAGAGGAAACACCAAUCAAAUGCAAUGACAUCUUUAAGCCUUUAUCUGAACAAGACAAACCCAUCAGAACUGUGCUGACAAAGGGAGUAGCUGGCAUCGGAAAAACAGUCUCUGUGCAGAAGUUCAUUCUGGACUGGGCUGAAGGGAAAGUAAAUCAGGACGUCCACCUCAUAUUUCCACUUCCUUUCAGAGAGCUGAACUUGAUGAAGGACCAGAAACUGAGUCUGAUGGAGCUCCUUCAUGUGUUUUUUAUGGAAACAAAAGAAACCAGUUUGGAAGAGGUUCUGUUCAUUUUUGACGGAUUGGACGAGUGUCGUUUUCCUCUAGAUUUCCAGAACACAGUGAGAGUGUGUGAUGUAACUAAAUCAGCAUCAGUGCCUGUGCUGCUGAUAAACCUGAUCAAAGGGAAUCUGCUUCCCUCUGCUCUCAUCUGGAUCACCUCCAGACCUGCAGCAGCUGAUCAAAUCCCCUUUGAGUGUGUGGAUCGAGUCACAGAGGUACGUGGGUUCAAUGACCCACAGAAGGAGGAGUACUUCAGGAAGAGGUCCAGUGAUCAGAGCCUGGCUAAUAAUAUCAUCACACACCUGAAGUCAUUAAGAAGCCUCUACAUCAUGUGUCACAUCCCAGUCUUCUGCUGGAUUUCAGCCACUGUUCUAGAGAGAAUGUUGGGUGAAGCAGAGAGUGGAGAGAUCCCCAAGACUCUGACUCAAAUGUACACACACUUCCUCAUCAUUCAGACAAACAUCAUAAGAGAAAAAUACUCAAAGAAGCAGGAGAGUGAUGAAGAAAUGCUUCUUAAACUGGGACAACUGGCUUUUCAGCAGCUGAAGAAAGGGAACCUGAUCUUCUAUGAUGAAGACCUGAGAGAGUGUGGUAUUGAUGUGACAGAAGCAGCAGUGUACUCAGGUGUGUGUACUCAGAUCUUCAGAGAGGAGUUUGGGCUUCACCAGAGUAAAGUGUACUGCUUUGUUCAUCUGAGCAUUCAGGAGCAUCUCGCAGCUCUGUAUGUGCACCUGACCUUCAUGAAGGAGAAGAGAAAUGUUCUUAAACAGAAUCAGCUUUUCAUACAGGUUUCUCAGAGUUUGAUAAAAUUAGAUAAAAUCUCAGAUGUACACAAGAGUGCUGUAUUUCAGGCUUUAAAAAGUAAGACUGGACAUCUGGAUCUUUUCCUUCGCUUUCUUCUGGGUCUCUCACUGGAGUCCAAUCAUAAACUCUUAUAUGCUUUAGUAACACAGGCAGGAAGUAGCUCCCAGAGCAUAAAGAAUACAGUUCAGUACAUUAAGAAGAAGAUCAGUGAAGAUCUUCCUACAGAAAAAUCCAUCAAUCUGUUCCACUGUCUGAAUGAACUGGGUGAUAAUUCUCUAGAGGAGGAAAUCCAACUCUACCUGAAAUCUGGAAAACAAAGUGAACUUUCUUCUUCACAGUGGUCUGCUCUGGUGUUUGUGUUACUGACAUCAGCACAGGAGCUGGAUGAGUUUGACCUGAGUAAAUAUACCAGUACAGAUAAGAUAACAGAAGAUAUUGUUCUGAAGAUGAUGCCUGUGAUUACAGCAUCCAGUAAAGCAAUUAUCAGCUGUGAUUCACUUGGAGUAAAAAGUUGGUCAUCUCUGGUCUCAGCGCUCAGAUCAGAAACCUCCAAACUGAGAGAACUUCAUCUGACUGUGAAAACACUGGAUCUGUCUGAUAAUAAACUAGGAGACUCAGGAGUGAAGAGUCUCUCUGCUGUACUGGAGAAUCCUCACUGUAAACUGGAGACACUGAAGUUGUUUAAUUGUGGUGUCUCAGAUGAAGGCUGUGCUGCUCUGACUUCAGCUCUGAGAUCAAACCCCUCACACCUGAGAGAACUGGAUCUGUCUGAUAAUAAACUAGGAGACUCAGGAGUGAAGAGUCUCUCUGCUGUACUGGAGAAUCCUCACUGUAAACUGGAGACACUGAGGUUGUAUAAGUGUGGUGUCUCAGAUGAAGGCUGUGCUGCUCUGACUUCAGCUCUGAGAUCAAACCCCUCACACCUGAGAGAACUGGAUCUGUCUGAUAAUAAACUAGGAGACUCAGGAGUGAAGAAUCUCUCUGCUUUACUGGAGAAUCCUCACUGUAAACUGGAGACACUGUGGUUGUAUAAGUGUGGUGUCUCAGAUGAAGGCUGUGCUGCUCUGACUUCAGCUCUGAGAUCAAACCCCUCACACCUGAGACACUUGGAUCUGUCUGAUAAUAAUCUAGGAGACUCAGGAGUGAAGAGUCUCUCUGCUGUACUGAAGAAUCCUCACUGUAAACUGGAGACACUGAGUAUCAGCUGUGAUUCACUUGGAGUAAAAAGUUGGUCAUCUCUGGUCUCAGCGCUCAUAUCAGAAACCUCCAAACUGAGAGAACUUCAUCUGACUGUGAAAACACUGGACCUGUACAGUAAUAAACCAGGAGACUCAGAAGUGAAGAUUCUCUUUGCUGGACUGGAGAAUCCUCACUGUAAAGUGGAGACACUGAAGUUGUACAAGUGUGAUGUCUCAGAUGAAGACUGUGCUGCUCUGACUUCAGCUCUGAGAUCAAACCCCUCACACCUGAGAGAACUGGAUCUGUCUGAUAAUAAACUAGGAGACUCAGGAGUGAAGAGUCUCUCUGCUGUACUGGAGAAUCCUCACUGUAAACUGGAGACACUGAGGUUGUAUAAGUGUGGUGUCUCAGAUGAAGGCUGUGCUGCUCUGACUUCAGCUCUGAGAUCAAACCCCUCACACCUGAGACACUUGGAUCUGUCUGAUAAUAAACUAGGAGACUCAGGAGUGAAGAGUCUCUCUGCUGUACUGAAGAAUCCUCACUGUAAACUGGAGACACUGAGUAUCAGCUGUGAUUCACUUGGAGAAAAAAGUUGGUCAUCUCUGGUCUCAGCGCUCAGAUCAGAAACCUCCAAUCUGAGAGAACUUCAUCUGACUGUGAAAACACUGGAUCUGUACAGUAAUAAACUAGGAGACUCAGGAGUGAAGAUUCUCUCUGCUGGACUGGAGAAUCCUCACUGUAAAGUGGAGACACUGAAGUUGUAUAUGUGUGGUGUCUCAGAUGAAGGCUGUGCUGCUCUGACUUCAGCUCUGAGAUCAAACCCCUCACACCUGAGAGAACUGGAUCUGUCCUGGAAUGAACUAGGAGACUCAGGAGUGAAGAUUCUCUCUGCUGUACUGGAGAAUCCUCACUGUAAACUGGAGACACUGAGGUUGUGGAAGUGUGGUGUCUCAGAUGAAGGCUGUGCUGCUCUGACUUCAGCUCUGAGAUCAAACCCCUCACACCUGAGACACUUGGAUCUGUCCUAUAAUAAACUAGGAGACUCCGGAGUGAAGAGUCUCUCUGCUGUACUGGAGAAUCAUCACUGUAAACUGGAGACACUGAAGUUGUAUAAUUGUGGUGUCUCAGAUGAAGGCUGUGCUGCUCUGACUUCAGCUCUGAGAUCAAACCCCUCACACCUGAGAGAACUGGAUCUGUCCUAUAAUAAACUAGGAGACUCAGGAGUGAAGAUUCUCUCUGCUGUACUGGAGAAUCCUCACUGUAAACUGGAGACACUGAGGUUGUGUGGUUGUGGUGUCUCAGAUGAAGGCUGUGCUGCUCUGACUUCAGCUCUGAGAUCAAACCUCUCACACCUGAGACACCUGGAUCUGUCUCAGAAUAAUCUAGGAGACUCAGUAAAGAAGCUGCUGUCUGAUCUUAAGGAUGAUAAACAUUACAAACUACAGACACUGAUUUGCAGAAGCCAGGCAGAAGUACCAUGGGUACCUGGAUAAAGAGAAAGAAAGAACAACAAGCUGUCGACUUGAAGAGGAAGGCUUUCACCGAUGAGGUGGAAGAUUUGGAAAAAAAAGAUGAGGGCUAGGAUGGAGGCGGACAUUUGUGCUAUUGAGAAAUUGGCGGAUGAAUAUGCUGAAAAGGCUGAAUCUUCAGGCAAUCUGAUCUUACAGUUUUUUACAAUGGCUAUGACAGUUUUUUCAAUACAUUUAACAAGUUUACUAAACUCUUAACAUGGUUAGCACAACAUCCGUCUUUGUAGGCUAUAAAUGCAUACAGUUAACACCAAUUUAAAAUGCUUGAACUUCUUUUACACACAAGCUCAACCAAGACCAAAACAAUGUAAUUUUACAACACAAAUAUAUUCCCUGUAUUUUAUUCCAUUGCUAAUGAGAAACAGCUUAUUGCAGUUAUGCAAAUAUAUAAAUCACAGCUGAUUCCCAUCUAGGAACCACACUCAGGUGUUGAGGUUUUUUCAAUCGCAUGAUCAUAUGUUCUAAAAGAGGACUCUUUGGGCUGAUCUUGUGUGGAAAAGGAACAAUAUGGAGCAACACAAAGAAAGAAAGAAAGAAAGAAAGAAAGAAUGCCUGCACGAGGGAGAGGAAGACGAGUACCAGUACAAGGGAGAGGAGUGGGGCAAGGACAAGGACAAGGGAGAGGAGUGGGGCAAGGACAAGGACAAGGGAGUUAGAAUGCGUGGUGGUGCUCAAAGAAGGACCAGAGCUAGGGUAACUGAUCAAAUAAGAGCUACUAUCAUUGACCAUGUCAUAAACCACAGGCUAUCAUACAGUGAGGUUGAUGAACGAGUACAGCCAAAUCUCAGCCUGGACACAGUGGCAUCCAUUGUCCGUAUUUUCAGAGAAACCAACAGGAUUCAACAUCUACCUCCCUCAGUGGGCAGAGGAAAGCUCUUGAAUGAAGAACAGGAACUUGCUAUUGCCAACAUGGUGAUUGUUGACAAAUCUGAAGGACAAAAAAACUGAAGGACGUUCACUCCAGAGUUGUAGAGGACAACCUUGUCUUUGGGAACAUCGCAGUAAUCAGCAUAACAUCCAUUUCUCGGACUCUAGCUAAACACAGAGUCCGAAUGAAACAACUAUACAAAGUUCCUUUUGAAAGGAACAGUGAGCGCAUCAAAGAACUCCGUCACCAAUACAGGUACAUCCAGUACUUUCAGAGAGUCAUGGAGUUGGAGGCCAAUCAAGUCUCACAUGAAAUUAUCUAUGUUGACGAGGCUGGCUUCAAUUUGGCAAAAAGGCGUCGCUGUGGGAGAAACAUAAUUGGCAAAAGGGCCACAGUUACCGUGCCAGGCCAGAGAGGAGCCAACAUCACAAUCUCCAACAACGGUGCACUUCUGCAUAAAUGUGAGAUUUGCCCCUACAACUCUGACCACCUUCUCCUGUUUUUAGAAGACCUGCAUGAAAGACUGGUGCCAGAGGUAGAAAGGGGACAGGUGGGAGACCACUUGCCAAUAUAUGGGACAAUGUGGCAUUCCACCAUUCACGUGCAGUCACAGCCUGGUUUGACGCCCAUACAAGGAUGAUGUCCUCAGCCUGGAGAUGGAAAGUUUUUGACCAUCAUCCACAUGACCAAAUGUUAGUGUUGCAAAAUUCCAGGAAUUUUCAAGGCUGGAAACUUUCCAUGGGAAUUAACGGGAAUAUAUGGAAAUAAACUGGGAAUUUAAAAAAAUGCAGAGUUGCCUAUAACAAGGAACUUAGAUGUAGUUAAAAAAAAUCUUGCAGCAUAAUUUUAUUUUAAAACAACAAGAUUUAAUGCAAUUUAAGUUGACUUUAAGUUGAAUACCCUGCAUUCCUCGGUCACUUGCACACAGCACACUGCUUACUGGAGUGGCAUUGAGGCCAAAGCCCCUGCAGGUACUUGCAUUCUUCCAUAACAUGCACAGUAACACUUUAUUUUAGGGUCAUUUAACUAGUUGUGUAAUAGCAUGAAUAUUAAUAGAAUAUUGGCUAUUUAUUAGUACUUAUUAGGGACAUAUGAAUGCCUUAUUCUGCAUUACCUUAUUGUACAAUCUUGAUAGUACCCAAUACCUAAACUUAAUAACUACCUUACUAUCUUUUAAUAAGCAGUAAAUUAGGUGUGUUACCACAUUCACAGAUAAUUUGAUGACCCUCCCCACACACUCACUCCCCCUAAAAAAAAAAAAAUCCUCCAUAUAUCACUUAAGGUGGGGGCGUGUUUCACCUCCAUUUUCCAGGCCUUGACUACCACAGAAGCAGAGACCUAAUAAGCUUGAGAAAAAAUGCUUCAUUUUACAUUUUGAUUGGGACUCUUUUUUAGAAGUGCAAGGGUUUGGGAUGCUUUCAUUUUACAGCAAUCAUAGGGAAAUAUGUUUAUUACAGUUAUUAAGUUUAUUAUGUUUAUUACAAUCAUAAUAAUGUUUGUUAUGCUUUUGUGUUACUCAAUGAAAGAAUCAGUUACAGUUUUUCUUGAUUGCUAAGACACAUUUCUUGAAAGCUGCUCUCCUUUUCUCUAAACUGUGAACACAAAACCCAAUUCUCUAUCCUCAGACUCUCCUUGCAAAACCAAACUUUCACCUCAAAACAGUUCAAUCUGUGCUCAGAAAUGAACUAUGUUGUCAAAUCGUGCCCCGAGUCAAUCAAAAUUAAAAUCACUACAGAACAGUCACUAAACACUACGUAGAAAAAUAGAAAACACAAUGCUCAGGACAUGAAGCUUGAGAAAUAAAUGUUUAUUGUUCACUGUAGGCUAAAUGCAUGUUGCAAAACAAAAAAAACCUGUGCAUUUAGCACUUGUACAAAAAAAAAACACAGAAAUCUUGUGCAUUUACACGUAGCACUUGUAAAAACAAACAGAAAUCUUAUGCGUUUGCCACUUGUGUACAGUAAGUCCAUGUAAAAAUAAAGUACAAAAAUACACAAAUAAGUGCAUUACUCAGCCACAGCAUCAUGUCUCAGUACUGGGUCAGGCCACAGGACUUCAUCCACAUCACAGGCCACAUUUUGUCUGGCCAGGCAACGGGGGAAAAAACCCCUGGCAUGCCGUAUCCAGGCUUGGCAUGUCUCCACACCUAUGUCACCACAGGCAUGAGGAGAAGAAUGAGGAGAAGAAUUCCUCAAUGGGGUUUAGAAAAGGGGAGUACGGUGGAAGGCAAAGAUUGAUAAAACCUUGGUUCAUAUUGAACCACUCUCUAACCUGGAGGGCUCUGUGAAAACUCACAUUGUCCCAAACAACAACAUAGAUUGGAUGCUCAUCCUGCUGCCCUAACAGAGCAUCUCACAUGCGAUUGAGGAAAAUGAGGAGCUGGUGAGUGUUGUAGGGCCCCAGGUUGGCAUGAUGGUGGACAACCCCAUGAUUGCUGAUGGCAGCACAUAAUGUGACAUUGCCACCACGCUGCCCAGGAACACCAACAAUGGCCCGAUGGCCAAUCACAUUACAGCCUCUCCUUUUCCUUUUGGUGAGAUUAAACCCAGCUUCAUCCAUGUACAGUACACGUGUUCAUGGGGUCUUUCCAUUGCAUCCAGUUGAAGAACCCUCUGUAGAAAUAGAUAUAGUUUUGUGAGUGAUACGGAAAAAGUGAUUUAGGCCACUACAGUAAAUCACUACUUAGAGUAAUCAACAUUGAAUGUGUCUGGAUAUAUGCCAACCUGUACAUCCUGGAAUCUUUGCUCUUUGACUCUGUCUGAGUUGCGAUCAAAGGGCACUCUGUAUAGCUGUUUCAUGCGCAGUCUGUUGCGCUUGAGGACAUGAUCAACAGUAGAGAGGCCGACACUGUUGAUACCCUCAAAAUUUACAUGGUCUUCAAUGAUCUUCUGCUGAAUUUCACUCAGUUUAAUGGCAUUGUUCUCACGGACCAUAUCAACAAUUAGGGUCUCUUGGUGUGCGGAGAACAUACCUGUCCUCCCACCCCCAUGUGGCAGUCUUUCAAUUCUACAAAAAGAGAACAUGGAGUUACAAAAUAUAUACAUGGAAUACUAGACCUACAAACAGUUAGACCAACCCUCCAUUAUAAUACUACAGUACAUUGGUACAGUGAUGUACUAUAAUGUCAAAAAAGGGUAAUUACCUGUUCUCUUCUAUAAAUCUUUGGAUUAUGGUGGACACAGUGAAUCUCCUGAUGUUUGGUUGUACCCUUUGUCCAGCCUCCCUCAUGCUCAUACCAUGGACAAGAACAUGAUCAAUCACAGUAGCUCUGAUUUCAUCAGAUAUUACUGUUCUUUGUCUUCGCUGACCACCUCGACCUCCUCUCACAAGAGAUCUUCCUCUCAGACUUCUAUCCAUUGUAGGGUCUCACAAACCAGUGCUCUCUGAACUGGCUUGCUGUAUAUGUUCCCUCACAUUAUUAGCCACAAGUGUGAUCAAUUUUGAGUUGUUGUGUUGAAGUGGUGACACCUGUGCUUUAAUUGUGUUUGACUUUUGUCACCUGUGCUCACCAUUAUGCAGCACGGGUGCAUCACAAUGAAAAUGUGUUGGCAAGUUGUGUCUAAACAGAUGAAAAGUGCUUAUGGUUUUGCCAAAAGAGUGAUUGAUUCAAUCAGUGGGUUCAGGCAACUGAGCAUUUGGUUCAGACAAUAGGGUUUAGUGUUUAGUGUAGCUCUACUUACAAUUAAAUCAGUCAAGACGUCAUUUUUUUAAAAUUUGUAUUACCUUGCAUGCAUGUCUGCUUAUGACCAAACAAAAUGUUUAUUUAUGUUUGUAUAUGAUAUAGUUUAUAUACAUUUCCCUAUAUUUCCAAAUAAUUCCCAUAAAUUCCUGUAAAUUUCCUUAAAUUCCCGUAAAGUUUCCAAUUUUGAAUAUUCCCAAAAUUCCCCAGAUUAAGUUCCCGUGGAAAGUUUCUGGAAAAAACUUUCCGCCCCUUUGCAACCCUACCAAAUGUCCCUCCUGGAUGCAAUGGAUGCUGCAUGCCAAGACAUCACAGCUGAACACUGCCAGGGGUGGAUAAGGCAUGCCAAAUGAUUCUUCCCACAAUGCCUUGCCAGAGAAGAUAUCAGGUGUGAUGUGGAUGAGAACAUGUGGCCAAAUGCAGAAGACUGGGCAGAUUAGAAGAUUACUUUGUUUUUUUAUUAUAAUUCCGGUGCUUUUUCUGUUUGUAUAUCUUGCAGUAAUGUCCUUUUGCAAAUAAAGUCUUUACUGCAGCAA
Tachysurus vachellii is the source of this 9596-nucleotide RNA transcript. It is a transcript of the gene named NACHT, LRR and PYD domains-containing protein 3-like, with no coding region annotated. The transcript has 20 exons. Lineage: Eukaryota; Metazoa; Chordata; Actinopteri; Siluriformes; Bagridae. The record is from RefSeq and is a predicted model, not a curated record.